Molecule: unclassified non-coding RNA, 243 nt
Filed under: uncultured Leohumicola
Lineage: Eukaryota; Fungi; Ascomycota; Leotiomycetes
Description: sequence contains 5.8S rRNA gene
Rfam family: 5.8S ribosomal RNA (bases 1-53)
Source: RNAcentral
GAACGCAUCUUGCGCUCCUUGGUAUUCUGAGGAGCAUGCCUGUUUGAGUGUCAUUAUAACCCCUCAAGCCCAGCUUGGUGUUGGGGCCUGCUGUUGUCGGCAGCCCUUAAAAUCAGUGGCGGUGCCAUCUGGCUCUAAGCGUAGUAAUACUUCUCGCUACAGGGUCCCGGUGGAUGCCUGCCAUCAACCCCUAAAUUUCUAUGGUUGACCUCGGAUCGGGUAGGGAUACCCGCUGAACUUAAG